CCAAUAGCGUAUAUUAAAGUUGUUGCAGUUAAAAAGCUCGUAGUUGAAUUUCGGGGUUAGUAAGCUGGUCGUGCCACUGGUAUGUACUGGUUUUACUGAUCUCUCCUUCUUGUAGAACCGUAAUGCCAUUAAUUUGGUGUUGCGGGGAAACAGGACUGUUACUUUGAAAAAAUUAGAGUGUUUAAAGCAGGCUAACGCUUGAAUACAUUAGCAUGGAAUAAUGAAAUAGGACGUUCGAUCCUAUUUUGUUGGUUUCUAGGAUUGACGUAAUGAUUAAUAGGGAUAGUUGGGGGGAUUAGUAUUCAAUUGUCAGAGGUGAAAUUCUUGGAUGUAUUGAAGACUAACUACUGCGAAAGCAGUUGCCAAGGAUGUUUUCAUUAAUCAAGAACGAAAGUUAGGGGAUCGAAGACGAUCAGAUACCGUCGUAGUCUUAACCAUAAACUAUGCCGACUAGGGAUCGGAUGAUGUUAAUUUUUUAAUGACUCAUUCGGCGCCUUACG
This 500-nucleotide ribosomal RNA is filed under the name uncultured Glomus. RNAcentral describes it as "SSU rRNA". It matches the Rfam family "Eukaryotic small subunit ribosomal RNA", at positions 591 to 1092 of the family's 1831-position model. The record is from RNAcentral. Lineage: Eukaryota; Fungi; Glomeromycota; Glomeromycetes; Glomerales; Glomeraceae.